This is a long non-coding RNA of Mercenaria mercenaria, 1170 nucleotides long. RefSeq lists it as uncharacterized. The transcript is spliced from 2 exons. NCBI's taxonomy places the organism in Eukaryota, Metazoa, Mollusca, Bivalvia, Venerida, Veneridae. The record is from RefSeq and is a predicted model, not a curated record.
UAGAUAUCUGUUAACAAAUGAUUGAACGUUAUGUUUUAGGUAUGGCCAUGUAGUGUUUACAAGGAACGGAAGAAAGAUUGGAGAAAAGGAAAUAUCCAGAUUAAGUGCACGAUACCCUGCGAUUGGGAUGCAUUCAGCUGGAGAAAAAGUCAAAGUUAUACUUGAUGCAAAGAUGCCACUGAUGUGAAUGAACUUCAAGGGACAAUUGUUUACGGAGUUUCUACAUCUAUACACUACAAUUAUCUAGUAUACGAUUAUAUUAUUAUAACAUGUUCAGUGUUUAUACAUAAUACAUGUACUACACCUGUACUGCUACUGUGUUCAGCUUUACAUUUGAACAUAAUUUGGUGAUGCUAGUAAAUGAUAGUUUCACUAAUACUAGUAAAAGAAAAGUCAGGUAUGAAAUAAUAAUGCACGCAUAAUUAUACUGUGCUGUUAUUCUCUAAUUUUGACUACCUUGCAUCAAAUGCUGGCAUGUGCUUUCAGUUUCUGAUUAUUUUAUAUUUCAUAUGUUCAGUUGCAUUCAUAAUGAUUAGUACUUAACUGCAUUAAAUGACACCUAUUUUAUUUUCGUGACUACUGUAACUAAAACAUAAACAUUGACAUAAUGAAAACUGUUAAUUUAAAGUUCUUUAAUAUGAAAAUGCGACAUUCACAAAGUAUAAAGAACAAUUUAUAUGUCGAGAACCAGACUUCAGUUUCAUUUUUCACCCAAUGUGCAUUUUACAUUACUUUAUGCGUAUAAUUUUGAUAUAAAGUUAUGAAACAACUAUUCCUAACUUAUAGUUAACUAUUUUAUGAUAUAUAAUUUCGAAAAUGAAAUUUAAUGUACAUACGUAUCCUUUAUGAUGUAGUGAAUUGCGUUAAGUAUAUUAUCUGAUGGGAUUUUCUCGAAAAUAUUAUGCAGAUAUAUUUUCUAUUAUGCACUCUAGCGAGAAAAUUGUUUGUACACUGACUUUCUGUUUGUUUCUUUAAUGUUCGGAAUUAUUUGUUUUUUAUUUGUAAAUGUAUUGCUGUAUUAGUCCAUUUACUAAACAAAAUAGCGAGGAUAUUGCGACAAGAUUCUUUCUGUUUAAUGAUUAGUUACAGAGAUUUUCAUCAUGUAUACUUUUGAAUUAUUGAAUGAAAUGACACAGUGAAUCGCUACAAGACAAUAUAUAUUCAUAUGUU